CAGCAGCCGCGGGAAAACGUAGGUGGCAAGCGUUGUCCGGAAUUAUUGGGCGUAAAGCGCGCGCAGGCGGAUCAGUUAGUCUGUCUUAAAAGUUCGGGGCUUAACCCCGUGAUGGGAUGGAAACUGCUGAUCUAGAGUAUCGGAGAGGAAAGUGGAAUUCCUAGUGUAGCGGUGAAAUGCGUAGAUAUUAGGAAGAACACCAGUGGCGAAGGCGACUUUCUGGACGAAAACUGACGCUGAGGCGCGAAAGCCAGGGGAGCGAACGGGAUUAGAUACCCUGUAGUCCCUGUCUCUUAUACAC
Molecule: ribosomal RNA, 301 nt
Filed under: uncultured bacterium
Lineage: Bacteria
Description: partial 16S ribosomal RNA
Rfam family: Bacterial small subunit ribosomal RNA
Source: RNAcentral